Long non-coding RNA from Syngnathus acus (greater pipefish), 1126 nucleotides. RefSeq lists it as uncharacterized. Lineage: Eukaryota; Metazoa; Chordata; Actinopteri; Syngnathiformes; Syngnathidae. The record is from RefSeq and is a predicted model, not a curated record. The transcript has 2 exons.
AGUUGUUUGUCAAUUUGUUUUGUAGCUUUUACUGGAUAUAAUAUGAGGAGUUUGACACCCCUGCUUUACUCCAUUCGAAAAUAUCAACAAAGAAUUGUGAAUUGAGGAAUUUCAUUUCAAUAAUGUGUCAUUCUUUCUCGCUGACUUGACACAAACACACAGUAAAAUGCUCGUAUGCGGUUCUGGUCUAAGGAAGCAGUAAAGCCACUGGGUAUCCCACCAGGUUCUCUACUUCUCCCCCUUGAUCUUUUGCAUUUGCCUCCAGGGCCACCAGGCACAGUGGAGCUGUGUAUGCACACUGGAGCCAUAAAAUCAUUUUGCACGCAUUUUAAUGGAUGCCCAAUUACUGUAGCUUUAUUCAUGUCAAAGAGAAAUAGAGGGGCUUUCCCAGAAUUUGUUUCUGCUUCAAGAGGCAGAUUUGAAAAAGUAUAUGAAAGUGAAUGCGAUCAAUAUACCUGGUCAUUUAUUGAUGAAAAUCUCGCCUUGGCCAGUUGUUGUGUCGACACUGGUGUUGAACGACAUAUUUAAGCUGACCCGGAAUGAAGGUAACACCUGCUUUGGAGUAAAGUUAUAGUGAUUUAGAAAGCUUUUUUUCCUGUAAUAGAAGGCAACCAGUGGUCAUGGUAAUAGUUGCUUCAGCGUCUCUUUCGGUGUGCAACUAAAUGAAAAGGCUUCUUGGAGCUUCUCAACACCUGCUAGCAAACUCCAAGUAUGUUAAAAGCAGUUCACGGAUUGGUUGUUCUGAAAGAAUAUUAUUAACCAAUAAAUAAAUUAAAAGAAAAUCUCAUCUCAUUAGUCUUAAAUCAUUUGUUUUGGUAAAACCUAUUUUUUAUUUAAUAGUCCUUUGUAGAUUCUAUAACGGAGAGAAAAAGAAACAUGAGCAUUGAAAAGGGGAAAAAGUUCAGCCUUUCUAAGGACGACUUCCAAAAAACGCACUCUCUAAUUUACUGUGUAUUUAUAGACUCAGUGGCCUGAAUGGUCUGAAUGCCACAUUGGAUGGAGAAAAACGGAGAGGCGUGAUUACACACCACACGUCUCAGGCUUUUUCCUCCCUUCCUGUAGCUCAACCUUCAAUUUUUUUUUUUUUUGUACCAGGGAUUACAUUUUUGAUAAACUAUCAUAUCAA